CCCUUAGAUGUCCGGGGCCGCACGCGCGCUACAAUGGAUGAAUCAACGCGUCAUCCCGGCCCGAAAGGGUUGGGGAACCGCUGAACCUCAUCCGUGGUUGGGAUUGGGGUUUGUAAUUAUUCCCCAUGAACUAGGAAUUCCCAGUAAGCGCGAGUCAUAAGCUCGCGUUGAUUACGUCCCUGCCCUUUGUACACACCGCCCGUCGCUCCUACCGAUUGAGUGGUCCGGUGAGGCUUUGGGAUCUGAGCGGAAAGAGCGUUUCGCUGUUUCUGCUCGGAAAACUCAGUCGAACCUUAUCAUUUAGAGGAAGGAGAAGUCGUAACA
RNAcentral lists this ribosomal RNA (324 nucleotides) under uncultured eukaryote. Its description in RNAcentral is "partial 18S ribosomal RNA". It matches the Rfam family "Eukaryotic small subunit ribosomal RNA", at positions 1470 to 1796 of the family's 1831-position model. The record is from RNAcentral.